UACGAAGGGUGCAAGCGUUACUCGGAAUUACUGGGCGUAAAGCGUGCGUAGGUGGUUUGUUAAGUCUGAUGUGAAAGCCCUGGGCUCAACCUGGGAAUUGCAUUGGAUACUGGCAGGCUAGAGUGCGGUAGAGGGUAGUGGAAUUCCCGGUGUAGCAGUGAAAUGCGUAGAGAUCGGGAGGAACACCAGUGGCGAAGGCGACUACCUGGACCAGCACUGACACUGAGGC
RNAcentral lists this ribosomal RNA (229 nucleotides) under uncultured bacterium. RNAcentral's name for it is "partial 16S ribosomal RNA". It matches the Rfam family "Bacterial small subunit ribosomal RNA", at positions 524 to 752 of the family's 1533-position model. The record is from RNAcentral.